Molecule: ribosomal RNA, 253 nt
Filed under: uncultured bacterium
Lineage: Bacteria
Description: partial 16S ribosomal RNA
Rfam family: Bacterial small subunit ribosomal RNA
Source: RNAcentral
UACAGAGGGGGCAAGCGUUGUUCGGAAUUACUGGGCGUAAAGGGCGCGUAGGCGGCCUUCUAAGUCGAACGUGAAAUCCCCGGGCUCAACCCGGGAACUGCGUCCGAUACUGGAAGGCUUGAAUCCGGGAGAGGGAUGCGGAAUUCCGAGUGUAGAGGUGAAAUUCGUAGAUAUUCGGAAGAACACCAGUGGCGAAGGCGACUCACUGGACAUGUAUUGACGCUGAGGUGCGAAAGCGUGGGGAGCAAACAGG